UACGUAGGGUGCGAGCGUUGUCCGGAAUUAUUGGGUUUAAAGGGUGCGUAGGCGGCUAUUUAAGUCAGUGGUGAAAUCCUGCAGCUCAACUGUAGAAUUGCCAUUGAUACUGGAUAGCUUGAGUACAGACGAGGUAGGCGGAAUUUAUGGUGUAGCGGUGAAAUGCAUAGAUACCAUAAAGAACCCCUACUGCGAAGGCAGCUUACUAGGCUGUAACUGACGCUGAGGCACGAAAGCGUGGGGAUCAAACAGG
Molecule: ribosomal RNA, 253 nt
Filed under: uncultured bacterium
Lineage: Bacteria
Description: partial 16S ribosomal RNA
Rfam family: Bacterial small subunit ribosomal RNA
Source: RNAcentral